CUCAGUCCUUGUAGGGCAUGUAUUAAACGAGGACGAGCGUGAAUUUGAGGGCAUCCCGACACGCUGUCCUCGGAAGAGCCGAUACGCACCACAAAAAACAAACAUCCUGUAGUGUACAAAAAGCAAGUCAAGGCUUGUUUCACAAAAGAGCAAGAGACAGCUGGAACAAUACCUUUAUAUUAAAGGAAGUGGAGUAAUAAACUAAGAAAAAGGAAUCGGAGAAGUUGUCCUGUACAGUUUGACAAAUGGCCAAAUUUUGAGCAGAUCCGGCAAAAUCUAAAGAGGACAGACUGGGAUAAGCUUUCAGGUGUGGAGACGAUCAAGGAGCAGCAUGUAAUGCAGGAUAGGCUCUACGCAGCCAUCUGUGUUGGAAAGAAGGCAGGUGCCUCAGCUGUCCACAAGACUGAUUUUAUCAAAUACUUUUAUAUGAAGCCUGGAAACAAAGAAGAAUGAAUUAAGAACAUUUAUGUUAAGUAGAAGUCGGGGCUGGAUGGUCUAUUAGUCUUACAACCCCUGCAGAUGUUGGUUUUUUUUGUCUCCAGCCUAAUUGGAAUUUUUUUCCUCCCAGC
This is a long non-coding RNA of Polypterus senegalus (gray bichir), 569 nucleotides long. RefSeq lists it as uncharacterized. NCBI's taxonomy places the organism in Eukaryota, Metazoa, Chordata, Cladistia, Polypteriformes, Polypteridae. The transcript has 4 exons. The record is from RefSeq and is a predicted model, not a curated record.